CUUUGACUUGACCUCACUCUCUCGCUCCGUCUCUCGACUUUGACUCGACCUUGCCUCAGAGUCUCGAACAACCUCACCACCACCCUCCUCGACCUCACCUCAGACAACCUUACCAGUCACCUCAGAAUCCGGCCACACCCUUAGACCCUCUGAUCUCUCUCUCAACUUCUCAUCCCUCAGACCCUCACUGUGGAGGAGCUUUCCUUCAUGGCACAGAGGCAGAGCUACGACCAUUGGUGCCACUCACCUAUCUGAUCUCUCUCUCGACUUCUUCAUCCAUAUUCCAGUGCACUGUGCACUGAUUCUCCACCAAAUCAGAUAAAUUUUGGAAUUAAUUUUGGGUUUGUGAAAUUUAGAUUAGGGUUUGUGAAAUUUGGCAUUUUGAGCAUUUUGUUUGAAUAUUGAGAUUCUUGAAACAAAAUUAUUGGGAAGAGUAGGAAUGAGAUUCUGGGGUUUUGUUAGCAGAAAUUCUAGUUCGCAAUUUCGAUUGACUUUAAUUUUUGAUGGCCACCACUUUGAUCAAGAACAUAAAGACUAGGUUUUUUCAUGUUGAGGACAUCCAAAAGACAGUUUAAGGAGCUAAUAAAGUGCCAUAACGACACGGUUUCCAUUCGGUAAUUUGCGUUAGUCGUGUCUUCACUUUACAUUGUAGCGAUAACUUCCUGUUCGUGACUUGGUCUGCACUAGCAGUUUAGAGUACAUAUUUCCAGAUUAUGCUUUCAUUUGCUAAAUACCUGCUUGAUUCUUUAGUUAACCUCUGGGAAUCUCAUCUCGUAUUCUUGGGAAGUCCCUGAUUUGCUUGUGACUUGGGUUCAAUUACUUGCUAAUUACUUAAUUGGGUAUAUGAAGAAACAGUUGUUAAUUACUUACUUGGUGCAUCAAUUUGUUCAGUCUGGAUUGCUGCUCAAGGGAAUUACUGUUUUUGUACUCUGUUUUUAGGGUAUUUGUAUAGGAAAUGGUGGUUGUAUGAAGCCAAUUGAACUACCACUCUUCUUGUGAUGAACAGAUUUUAGUGGAUGUUUUUGCAGAGAAAUUGUUGUGAAAUUACGUGGUUUGUGGCUUAAUUUCAUUUACUUGGAUGUUUGGAUGGUCUACAUUUUUAUUCUCAAAGAAGUUAGCAUCUUGGUUAGCUGCAAUGUUUUA
Long non-coding RNA from Malus domestica (apple), 1143 nucleotides. RefSeq lists it as uncharacterized. Lineage: Eukaryota; Viridiplantae; Streptophyta; Magnoliopsida; Rosales; Rosaceae. The record is from RefSeq and is a predicted model, not a curated record.